UCCUUGACAACGAAAGGAAAAUGGCACGCUACUAUAGAGUCGAAGUAUUUGUGAUCUUCGAGAUCUAUUUAAAUAUUUGCACGUAAAUCGCUUUAGGAAAAGCGUAAUCGUAUUUCAAGAACGUAUUAAAAUGUUGCGAAAUGUGUUACAUUUCAUAUCUGGAAACAGUUGUCUGUGCUCGCCGGUCGAGGAUACAAGUUUGAAUUGAAUACUGCAUAUUUCUUCAUGGUAUAUAGAGAAAUGGGAUAGGCGGCAUGCCUAGCUGAAUAAUUUGCUCUGAGAAUAUGGAAGGCAGCCAACAAUUUCAAAGUAUGCUGGAUAAUGUUUUGUUGAAAAGAGGAAUAGUAUCUCUGACAGGUUCAAAAGAUGCCGUUGGAUGCCAUGUUAUAUCAUUUCAAACUCAGCAACAGUUGCUGUUUACACAAAUUGGUCAUUCAAGUUUGACUGAAUUACUUCAUAUUGUUGUGACAUAUUAUGAAAGUGCGUUGGUGUCAUUCUUGGUGAAUAUGAGUCACUCCACUCCAUUGUUUAUUGAUAAAUUUAUUCAUGUUAUUCAUCAACUUGAGGGAGUGAUGUCCGAAAGGAGGAUAAAAAGGGUAUACGUGAUUAGGCCGGAACGAAAACCAAUCCGAAAACAUUUCUUAAAAGAGUUGGGUAACAUCAACAACGAAAAUACAAGAAAUAAUGCUCAGGUUAUUGUCGUGAAGUCAUUUGAAGAACUAUAUCAAUAUAUAAAACAACGUGACUUGACCCUUGAAUAUGGUGGAACAUUGCAACAUGACCACAAUGCCUGGUUGGCCGUACAAAAGACUUUAAUACAGUUCUAUCUUCUGGUAAAUAAUCUUGCGAAAACGUCGGCUGACGUCACAAAUAGAAUACGCGACCUUACAUCAGGAGGGUUUGGAACUAAAGCCUCGGAAAGGUCUACGGAGAAUGCACAAAAAAAACGAGUCCGAAAAGCUGAAAAGAAGAAGAAUGAAAUUUUGAGGCAGUACAACGUUACUUAUGCGCUGGAAAACGGCCAAAAAUUACAAUCGUAUUUUGAAAAUCCAAAGUUGGAGGAAAAUUUUCAAACCCUGUCCAAAUCACCUGUUUUUCAACGAGACAAAGCAGUAUUUCAGCAGUACUACCGCAAGCUGUUGGCUUUGCGUGAUGGUUUUGAGCAUGCGUGGAAAGAAGCUGUGGGUAAAUUGAGGUCAUUCGCACCCGAACAAGAAUUGUAUAACCGCCUUAUUGAGUGUUGUACGUGGAUUGUUGAAGAAGGUCUGCCCUAUCUGUCGCCAGUUCCUACUCAGAGCAAGACGCUGGCUGAAGCUGUAAAACAAAAGAAUAACUUCGAGAAUGAAUUCUACAAACCCGUGAAGGUGAUGCUGAGAAAAUCCCGUCACACGUUGAAAGAAGUGCGCCAAUAUCAGCGCUCACUGCGCACGCCCAAUGGCAGCCUCGAUCUCAUGGCUGAUAACUUAACUCAAUUGAUGGAAAACAUUACGAAAAAGUCGGAACUGAGAUUGAAACAUUAUACUAGCGAAAAAGAUUUUAUGCACGUAUUCCGCAAGGCAGAAAGUUGGUACGAGAAAGCUAGUGAUCUCUGCCCAAUGAAUCCUCUCCCAAUGAUCACACAAGAAAAUACUCAUCUUUCCACAUCGAGAAUUGUUGAUCCAAAGAUUGCAAACUUUCUGGAAAAGUAUCCUCCACUGACCCGAGAGGAAUUCGGUAAAUUGCUGGAAUAUGUGGAGCAAAUCGACGACCUGGAACUUCGUAACCGUGUUCGGUUGCUAGGUAACCGUUGCCAAGAAAUGGAAAAAAUGUUAAAUGCUCACCAGUCGCAACAUGGUGAUUUUAGCGACGAAGAGGAGAGCUUAGACCUGGAAUCGUCUAGUGGUCAAAAACGACCAUCGUCCGGUCGAAACUCGUCGCUUCAACGUUCCACGCAGAAGGACAACAAUAAAUUACCUUUACAUUCAACAAUUUCCACAGAUUUUUCAACAAAACGCUGGCAUGAUGACGUCAUGAGCUCGACUACCGUCUCGAAUGAUGACAUCGUUAACUCAAGGUCUGGGACGGAGGAUUUUGGGACUGGGAUGGAUAAUUCACGCUUGGCUGAUAUUCAGAGAAGGCUUCGUGAUCAGGAGUUACUGUAUGAACAGUUAAUACUGGAACAGGAAAUCAGAGAGCUCGCCGAGGAAAAAUCGAGUCCUAACAAACCAGAGGUUUCCCUUAGUUCUAGUUAUGAGAGAGCUGGAAGCCCUCGUGCCACUAAGAGAGCUGUUGUAGAUUUUGACGACAAAGGAAAGAUUAGUAGAACUUCAUUACGAAAUGAGGAUGUGCCAUUUACAUCCAGUUUAAACCGGAAUGCCGAGAUAGGAAGUCUAGGCACUGUCGUUAAUGAUUAUCAUACCGGUAAGGCAUUUAGGAAUAGGCGUUCUGAGUCGCUGCAAAGAAAAUCUAGGAAAGGAAAACAUAGAUCAAUUGCUUCUGAUUUGAACGUAAGCCGCAGUGCUGUGAUUGAAAACAUAGACCCCAUUCUUAACGGUAAUGUUUCUGCAAUUGGUGGCAUAAACCAACCUAGAAAUAUAGGCGCUGAUCAAACAAAACUGGAAUUUGGUUUGCUCCCAGUUGAUACUGAACUAUCAGACAAAGAAAAUCGUGGUAAUUUAACAACCUCAACGCGAAGAGAGAAUCAGGGAGAAAUAAAUUUGCUUUCACCUAUCGAUUUGUUGGAUGGGUGCAAUAGUUUAAAACGUCUGUGCAACCUUGAAAUCCCUUCUCCCCAAAAUAAUACCUUCACAACAUUCGAGAAGUAUUAUAGUCCGGGUGAAUCAGUAUCUACGAGUAAUUCUAGCUUAAUACCACCAGAUGGCAACGUUAACACCUCCCCAGUAGUGUCAUCUGAAUCAAGAAACCGAUCAGAUGAUCCUGAAGAUUGUGUAAACAAUUCGGAAAAUUCACGUGAUGUCGAGUUUCAUUCACAUGAAGUGGAGGUAUUUGAACCUGAUUCUGGAAGUCAUUCUGGUCUACUUGACUAUGAAUUUGAAGAAGUUGAAAAUUCAUCAACUAAAGCUGCUGAUAUGUGCAUAGCACAAGAUUCUGAAAACAGUUCACAUGGUCGUUUACGUGAUCCAGAAAAUAGUUCACGUGAUGUUGAGUGUUAUUCUAGUGAUUCGAGAACUUCAUCACGUGAAGUGGAAAAUGUAUCCAAUGACAGUUCACGUGAAGAACUUCUGAAGGCUGCUAGUGAAGCAGCUAACCACUGGACAAAUAUAAAGAAUAAACAUCGAGCGCGCUUGACGCAAAUCGUCGAUAAUAUUUCGACAAGAAAAGAAAUAGAAAAGGCAUAUUUUAAUGCGCAAAUACAACUUUGCCGGGCGAGACAGAGUAUUGUCACGUUAAAUGAAUCAGGCGGUCAUGCGGAACUUUCUUCAGAAAAUGUUGUAAAUGGCAAUAUGGCAUCAUCGUUUAACAUCUCUUUAAAAAUCCCCGACAGCGAGGAUAAAACGUUCGAUGGUAAUGGAGCAUUCCGAAAAUAUAUCAGGGAUUUUAGUGACGAUAAAACAAACACGAAUUGGCAGGAGAAUGCAAAGGAUACAUUGCUGGGUACGAAGAAGGAAGAGGGUGAGAUUGGGGUUGAAGGAAACACUAAAACUGAUGCUGGACAUGAUACAGGUGAACCAUUUGAGUCAAAGGAUACCUCUGAGGAAUUCACUGCUUCGCAAAAUCUUCAAGGUGACGGAGUGUUGCAAGAGAAUUGUAAAGAAUUUGAUUCCGAGCUGGAGGCUAGUGAUGAGUUUGAUGAUAACGUAGAUGAAGAGGAGUUGAUGUUGUUAUGCAGUCAGUCGUCCAGCGGUAUGUUGAAUCAAGAAGAACUGAAAGAAAGUUUGCGUGAAGAGCAGGCAAGACUCGAGGAUAAGUUCCGGCAGCAAAAAGAGCAAUUGCGACUCGAACGAGAAAAACUAAUUGAAGGUGAUAAGAAUAUUCACGAACAGGAAAGUAAGAACUUAGAAAUAGGAGAAAUAGAAAACCAGGAGCUUUUACAAAAUAUUGAGAGCAUUGGCAGUUAUCCUUUAGGCAAGUUUAGUAAAGGCACAAAGAUUGAUUUUCAUCGAGGAAAUAUGCCAAUGGAACUCAAUCUACCUCAACCAAACACAGAUAGCUAUGAUUCGCCGGAGCGUGAGGAACUGCGUUCACAUUGCGCAAUACCAUCACCUGUUCACGAGGCACCGUCACCGCGCUACGAGAUUCCCUCUUUAAAUUCCGAAUUUCCUUCACCACCACACGAAACACUCACUGAACGGAACGAAAUGUCUUUCCCACAGCGCGAAACAUUCCCAACACAGCACGAAAUAGCUUCAUCACAUCAUGUAAUACCUUCACUCCACCCCGAGAUACCUUCACUGCAGGACGAAAUGACAGCUCCCAACGAAGAACUUUUGCCACAACAUGAACCAUACACACCACAAGGUUUAAGGAGUUUUUCUCAACAUGAAACGAAGACAGCAGAGAUUACGCCAUUUAACCAGGAAAACACAUCUCCAAUAAAACCAAUCGAUCACACAGAUGUCAGGGUUGACGGUGGCGUGAGCGACAUUAGUGAAAUUAUUGUAAGCAACUCAGAUGAUAACAGGAGAUGUAAAAUCGAAGAAGAAUUGAUAAGCAUUUUGCAAGAAAGACCACCGGAGGUAGAGCACGAAAAAUUGGAAGUAGCAGGACCAAGGGUUCCUCCUUUAGGUAUGGGUCAUUAUCCUCCUGCCAUUUUAGAUCAUAAUGAUGAUGACAUUGAUGAAAUGAAUCAGCUUAUCGAUGAUCUAAUGAUAAGUGAUCUGAAUAGAGAUAAUCAAAGUGAUUAUGAUGAGGUAGAUGUGGAUAGAUUUCAAGUAAAAGGGGCUAAAAAUCCGGUGAAUAAUCGUAACUGUGAGGAUGGUGAUGUGAACGAAGGUGGUUUUUCGGUGGAUUUGGAUAAUAUUGGAGUGAAUUUUGGCGAUGAUGAAGAGAAUAAAAUGUUCGAAAUGGAUAAUGGUGGAAGAUGUGUGGAUGAUGACAGAGUUAGUGAAGACGAUGUAGAUGUAUAUCUUGAUGAUGUUGGGAGUGGCUUACCUGGCGAUAAGGAGGUAAAUGAGGGUGAUGUCGAGAUAACUGUUGAUAGUUGUGACGUAAAUGUGGAUGAUGGUAGAGAAAAUAAACUAAAGUUCGAUUUACCUCAGUCAGGAUUAAAUAAUCUUGAAAUCCGUAUGGAUAAUCAUCCGGCAAAUAAUGAUAACCAAGAGUUAAAGAUCGGGAAUUAUUUAGUAGACUUGGACAUUGAGGAUGAUGUUGAAACAAAAUGGGAUAAUUGCAAAGUUAGCCUCGAUGAUCUUGAAGAAAACAAGAACGAAAGAAUUUCAGAUGUUGCUCAAACUGGUAGUCACCUUGAACGUACAGGGGUCCCGUUUGGUGAUAGAAUGUCUGCAGAGGGCAAGGAUUCUCGAGAUGAAAGUUUGGGGAUUGAUGUUGAAUUCUCCAUAGAUCUGAACAAGCAUAGCGAAGCCGUUCUCGCGAAUGACCUGAUAGGAUUACUGCAUAAUCAGAAAGAUGAAUUCUCUAGUCAAGAAAGCCUUGAAGUCGAGGAGGAGCAUGAUUUGGAGAAUAAUUUUGUAGUAGCAUGCAACAAUGAAGUCAAUCAUAAAAUAAUCGAGAUCGAAAAUUCCAAAGAAGAAGGCAUUUUGGAAAAGAAAAUGAGCCUUGAUAAGCACGAGAUGAAACACAAACCUGAAGAAACAACAAGCAACGUUAGCGAGAAACAUUCCAGCACAGAUGACGAAAAUGGCAUUCCUGAGGGACACCAAUUUAUGUCUGACGAUAGUGAGGAUGAUGACGAUUUUUGCAGGGUGUUGGAGGAUAUCAAGGAAGAAGAGAGUGAAUACGAGGAUUUGAUGAGAUACAAAGCUACACAUGUUGAUAGCAAUGAUAACAAGGUUCAAGAACAGUCAAAUAUUUUUGUUCCCAGUCCUUCUGUUCUCCGGACCGCGCGUUUUGAUGACGAUAACAUGGAUGCAGAGGAUAGCGCUGCUAAUAAGCUCCUUCUCGUCUUCCGUAAUUAUCGAUCCUGGAACAGGGUAUUGCAAGGCGGGAUUCUCUGUUGACGAUAAACCAAGAGUCGUCAUUCCUUCCGUUGUAGGGAUGCCAAAAUCAGAGGUCCAACAUUCUGGACGUUACAAAGAUUAUUAUGUCGGUGAAGAAGCAAAGCAUUUACAUCGAGUAUUAAAUUUACAUCGCCCUUUAA
This 6256-nucleotide unclassified non-coding RNA is filed under the name Dendronephthya gigantea. RNAcentral's name for it is "uncharacterized LOC114530058, transcript variant X1". The record is from RNAcentral. Lineage: Eukaryota; Metazoa; Cnidaria; Anthozoa; Malacalcyonacea; Nephtheidae.